CAAGAUUUCAACAAAAUUCCAAUCAUAUUUCAAAAGAUGGACUGGGAUUUACAUACCUAAACAAGGAGACAACAAUAGCAAAGAGCUUAGCAAUGGCUUAUAGAGAAAUCGAGCAGACAAUGCCAAUACCCGUGACAUAAAAUCUGGACGACUGAAAAAGAAUAAAGUUUGAGGUGUGACCUUUUAAAUGAACGACGACUUCAAUAUAUUAAUAUAUUGACUGGUAUUGUAAUGACGAAGAUGACAUCCAAACCGAGCAAAGUUCAGCAGUCCAUAAACGAACCAAUCCAACAAAUUCAACCAUUUCAACAAUAAUUAAUACACAAUACUCCAAAUAGGAAUCUCAUACCAGGAAUGCAGCAUUAGAGCAUUUAAACAAAGUGAAUAUCUAUACAACUCAUGGAAUUUUGAGGCAAAUUUAAAUAGAGAUACACUCGCGCGAGUUUCGUUAACCAAAAUAUAAUAGUUACAUUUUAGGUCCUAACGAAAUACCUGGUUACAGCAAAAUCUGAGCCAAAUAGAAAAUGAUAGAACCCAACAAACAGCCGCAGAUUCGACAAUGAAUCCUCCAAUCUCAAACAAACAGCAAAUCGGAGCUCAGCAAUUACAAUAGUAAAAAUCAGCGGAAUCGAACAAUGACUGGAAUUUAAAUCAAUCUCUCAGCUUUGAAACCAAUUCUAAAACUUCAACAAGCUCUGAAAUCCCCCAAAAAUGUGAGAGCACAAGAAUUUGAAACUGAAAAUCAGCUUAGGCAAUCUUUUUUUUCUUUCUAGAUCUGAAAGUUCAGAAUUCAGGUAUGCUUCUCUUUCCCCUUUUUGUGUGUGUGCGUAAAUUCUCAAAUCAUUCUAUGUUGAAGGGAAUGAAGAGGGAGAAGAAGCUACUGAGUAAAGGAGGAGAGGAAAUGUUCAGCAUGGAAAA
RNAcentral lists this long non-coding RNA (918 nucleotides) under Nicotiana benthamiana. RNAcentral's name for it is "long non-coding RNA (NBEN_LNC008439)". The record is from RNAcentral. Lineage: Eukaryota; Viridiplantae; Streptophyta; Magnoliopsida; Solanales; Solanaceae.